This is a long non-coding RNA of Octopus bimaculoides (California two-spot octopus), 499 nucleotides long. The record is from RefSeq and is a predicted model, not a curated record. Lineage: Eukaryota; Metazoa; Mollusca; Cephalopoda; Octopoda; Octopodidae.
AAUGCAUUUGUCAUUCAUUUGCCCUCUCCGUUUCUGUGUCUUAUGAUACUCUGUAACAUCUGAGCAUAUUCUCACCAAGUCUUGCCAAUUGCCGGCACUUGUGUUUAUGUGGACCACCAUAAAACCUAUUUAUAUUUGUGCUACAGCAAAAAACAGUUGACAAGAACUAAGCUGAUGAGAAAUAUAAAGCUACGUGUCAGAAGCCAUUGGCAUAAAUUGGUUUUAUUCUACAUUGAAAGUCUCUGGAUUCCAGCCAGCCAUGAGCAAUGAAUGACAGGACUUCUUUGAGUCAAGAGAACCCCAGGAAUUUGUGAAUCUGCAAGUAUGAAUUAAUACAUGUAUAUAUAUAUACAUAUAUAUAUAUGCAUAACUCUAAGCUUAUAUAUAUGUGUUUGGUUCCAAAAACAAACAAAAAAAAAGCUGUUAAAUGAAUCAAUGAUGAAGCAAAACUUUCUGUAUUUGAACAGAAAUAAAUUAAGGAAAACAAUUCCUUCAUUCA